GACGAACUGUUCGAACGUUAUUCGGAAUCACUGGGCUUAAAGGGCAUGUAGGCGGCGUGAUAAGCGGGGUCUGAAAUCCCACGGCUCAACCGUGGAACUGGGCUUCGAACUGUCGCGCUAGAGUGAAGUAGGGGCAAGCGGAACUUGCGGUGGAGCGGUGAAAUGCAUUGAUAUCGCAAGGAACACCGGUGGCGAAAGCGGCUUGCUUGGCUUCAACUGACGCUCAAAUGCGAAAGCCAGGGUAGCGAAC
RNAcentral lists this ribosomal RNA (250 nucleotides) under uncultured prokaryote. Its description in RNAcentral is "partial 16S ribosomal RNA". It matches the Rfam family "Bacterial small subunit ribosomal RNA", at positions 524 to 773 of the family's 1533-position model. The record is from RNAcentral.